GAGCAACCUGCCCCUGACUCUGGGAUAAGCGGUGGAAACGCCGUCUAAUACCGGAUACGACCUUCCGCCUCAUGGUGGAGGGUGGAAAGUUUUUUCGGUCAGGGAUGGGCUCGCGGCCUAUCAGCUUGUUGGUGGGGUAACGGCCUACCAAGGCGAUUACGGGUAGCCGGCCUGAGAGGGCGACCGGCCACACUGGGACUGAGACACGGCCCAGACUCCUGCGGGAGGCAGCAGUGGGGAAUAUUGCGCAAUGGGCGAAAGCCUGACGCAGCGACGCCGCGUGGGGGAUGACGGCCUUCGGGUUGUAAACCUCUUUUACCACCAACGCAGGCUCCGGGUUCUCUCGGGGUUGACGGUAGGUGGGGAAUAAGGACCGGCUAACUACGUGCCAGCAGCCGCGGUAAUACGUAGGGUCCGAGCGUUGUCCGGAAUUAUUGGGCGUAAAGAGCUCGUAGGCGGCGUGUCGCGUCUGCUGUGAAAGACCGGGGCUUAACUCCGGUUCUGCAGUGGAUACGGGCAUGCUAGAGGUAGGUAGGGGAGACUGGAAUUCCUGGUGUAGCGGUGAAAUGCGCAGAUAUCAGGAGGAACACCGGUGGCGAAGGCGGGUCUCUGGGCCUUACCUGACGCUGAGGAGCGAAAGCAUGGGGAGCGAACAGGAUUAGAUACCCUGGUA
This 673-nucleotide ribosomal RNA is filed under the name bacterium SCSIO13258. RNAcentral's name for it is "bacterial SSU rRNA". It matches the Rfam family "Bacterial small subunit ribosomal RNA", at positions 119 to 792 of the family's 1533-position model. The record is from RNAcentral.